RNAcentral lists this ribosomal RNA (1523 nucleotides) under Desmognathus wrighti (pygmy salamander). RNAcentral describes it as "large subunit ribosomal RNA". It matches the Rfam family "Bacterial large subunit ribosomal RNA", at positions 424 to 2925 of the family's 2925-position model. The record is from RNAcentral. Lineage: Eukaryota; Metazoa; Chordata; Amphibia; Caudata; Plethodontidae.
AUUUUAAGUCUAGCCCAAACACAAUCAUCACCCACCACCAACAGAUAAACCAUUUUUAUAUAAUAGUAUGGGCGACAAAAAACUUAUUUAGCGCAAUAGAAAAAGUACUGUAAAGGAAAGAUGAAAUAGAAAUGAAAUAAAAUAAAAUACAAAGAAGCAAAGACCACAACUUUUACCUUUAGCAUAAUGAUUUAGCAAGUCCACAUUAACAUAAAGAAUUUCAGUUUUAUAUCCCGAAACCAGACGAGCUACCUAAAGACAGCAAACACUGAGCAAACUCUUCUCUGUAGCAAAAGAGUGAGAAGAGCUUUUGGUAGAGGCGAAAAACCAAACGAGCCUGGAUAUAGCUGGUUGCUUGAGAAUGAAUUUUAGUUCAACUAAAAGCAUAAAUAUUACAAAAAAUAAUGCUUUUAAUAUAAUUAAUUGAGGUACAGCCCAAUUAAUAAAGGAAACAACCUAAAUAAAUAAAUAAAGAUUAUAUUAUAACAAGAAAAUUAAUAUUGUUGGCCUAAAAGCAGCCACCGAAAAUAGCGUUAAAGCUUAAUUUAAAUAAAACUUAUUAUUUCAAUAAACAAUCUAAAUUUACAAAAAAAAUCGAGCCAAUCUAUAUAAUAGAUGAAUUAUUACUAAAAUGAGUAACAAGGAAAGAAGCCUUUAUAUGCACGUGUAUAUCAAAAUGAACAAGUCGCUGAUAAUUAACAAAUAUAUAUUCCCUAACAAGAAAAUAAUAUAUAUAUUAAUGUUAAUCCAACACAGGAGCAUUAGAAAAAGAUUUUAAAUUUGAGAAGGAACUCGGCAAAAUAUAGCUUCGCCUGUUUACCAAAAACAUCGCCUUUUGUUAUAUAAAUAUAAAAGGUACUGCCUGCCCAGUGACAAUCGUUCAACGGCCGCGGUAUUAUGACCGUGCAAAGGUAGCGUAAUCACUUGUCUAUUAAAUAUAGACCAGUAUGAAUGGCAAGACGAGAGCUUAACUGUCUCCUUAAAUUAAUCAGUGAAAUUGAUCUUUCCGUGCAGAAGCGGAAAUAUAAAUAUAAGACGAGAAGACCCUAUAGAGCUUUAAACCCAAACUAGUUAUAUAUAAAUAAUAAUUAUAGCACCCGGUUUUAGGUUGGGGCGACCACGGAGCAAAAAAGAACCCUCGAGAUGAAUAAUUAAGAGGUACACCUCAAAAUAAUAAUAAAGUUAACAUUAUUGACCCAUAUUUGAUCAACGAACCAAGUUACCUUAGGGAUAACAGCGCAAUCCUUUCAUAAAGUCCAUAUUAACGAAUGGGUUUACGACCUCGAUGUUGGAUCAGGACACCCAAAUGGUGCAGCAGCUAUUAAAGGUUCGUUUGUUCAACGAUUAAAGUCCUACGUGAUCUGAGUUCAGACCGGAGCAAUCCAGGUCAGUUUCUAUCUAUAAAUAAUUUUUCCUAGUACGAAAGGACCGGAAAAAUAAGGCCAAUAAAAAAUUUAAGCCUUAUAACUAUUUCUGAUAUAAAAUAAAGAAAAAUAAAAGAAAACCAAGCUAAGAUAUAGCUU